Anguilla anguilla (European eel) is the source of this 555-nucleotide long non-coding RNA. RefSeq lists it as uncharacterized. Lineage: Eukaryota; Metazoa; Chordata; Actinopteri; Anguilliformes; Anguillidae. The record is from RefSeq and is a predicted model, not a curated record. The transcript has 3 exons.
UAGAAAACUAGACUCGCGCCACCACAAGAAUUUGCAUUAUGUGUCAGAAUAUCGUUAUUUUUAAUUAAUAAAUACAACACAUUCAACCAUUGCGUCAUGUGCGUCUGGAGCCACUGUCCGGGAAUCAAGUGGCACGUGUAAUUUAAAAUAUUUAUCUAAUUAAAAGGUGAAUAGCUGCUUAUCGGAAAGAGCUGGUGAAAGUGAGAAACUUCACAGAAAAAAAUAAAAGCGAAAAACAACGCAAAUUUGGAAAACCCUUUGAUAAUAUUAUGCAAAAACAUAAGCUUUGCAUUUCCGGUAUUUACCCCUGGGCGGGAAGUUUUGAAUAAUUCUGUAGUGAGAGCCACUGCAGACGAGAGGUGAAUGGGUUCCAGGAAGAUGGUCUCCGUUUCUGAAAUCGCUGAGAACCUGCAGUGGUGAGGGAACAGUGAAGAAGAGCAGUGUCGCGAAAACCAGAACAUCGGUCAAGAUGUCAACGGGCUCCAGAUCUCACUGAGAAAAACAACCAGAGAUAAUGGAACUAAUUACUGGUGUGUCCGUGUGUGUGUGUGUGUG